AGUUUGAUCCUGGCUCAGGAUGAACGCUAGCGAUAGGCCUAACACAUGCAAGUCGAGGGGCAGCACAUGAGUAGCAAUACGAUGGUGGCGACCGGCGCACGGGUGAGUAACACGUAUGCAACCUACCUCUAACAGGGGGAUAACCCGUUGAAAGACGGACUAAUACCCCAUAAUACAGGGGCUCCGCAUGGAGAUAUUUGUUAAAGAUUUUAUCGGUUAGAGAUGGGCAUGCGUUCCAUUAGCUAGUUGGUGAGGUAACGGCUCACCAAGGCGACGAUGGAUAGGGGAACUGAGAGGUUUAUCCCCCACACUGGAACUGAGACACGGUCCAGACUCCUACGGGAGGCAGCAGUGAGGAAUAUUGGUCAAUGGAGGCAACUCUGAACCAGCCAAGUCGCGUGAAGGAUGAAGGUCUUAUGGAUUGUAAACUUCUUUUGCAGGGGAAUAAAUAGCGGUACGUGUACCGUUUUGCAUGUACCCUGCGAAUAAGGAUCGGCUAACUCCGUGCCAGCAGCCGCGGUAAUACGGAGGAUCCGAGCGUUAUCCGGAUUUAUUGGGUUUAAAGGGUGCGCAGGCGGGAGAUUAAGUCGGCGGUGAAAUUUUGCAGCUCAACUGUAAAAGUGCCUUCGAUACUGGUUUCCUUGAGUGUGGAUGAAGUAGGCGGAAUUUGUGGUGUAGCGGUGAAAUGCUUAGAUAUCACGAGGAACUCCGAUUGCGCAGGCAGCUUACUAAACCACUACUGACGCUCAGGCACGAAGGCGUGGGGAUCAAACAGGAUUAGAUACCCUGGUAGUCCACGCAGUAAACG
RNAcentral lists this ribosomal RNA (808 nucleotides) under uncultured bacterium. RNAcentral describes it as "bacterial SSU rRNA". It matches the Rfam family "Bacterial small subunit ribosomal RNA", at positions 10 to 808 of the family's 1533-position model. The record is from RNAcentral.